AACGCGAAGAACCUUACCUACCCUUGACAUCCUCGGAAUCCGGCAGAGAUGCUGGAGUGCCUUCGGGAACCGAGAGACAGGUGCUGCAUGGCUGUCGUCAGCUCGUGUCGUGAGAUGUUGGGUUAAGUCCCGUAACGAGCGCAACCCCUAUUCUUAGUUGCCAACAGGUGAAGCUGGGAACUCUAAGGAUACUGCCGGUGAUAAGCCGGAGGAAGGUGGGGACGAGGUCAAGUCAUCAUGGCCCUUACGGGUAGGGCUACACACGUGCUACAAUGGGCGGUACAGAGGGAAGCGAAGCCGUGAGGUGAAGCGAAUCUCACUAAAGCCGCUCGUAGUCCGGAUUGGAGUCUGCAACUCGACUCCAUGAAGUUGGAAUCGCUAGUAAUCGCGGAUCAGAACGCCGCGGUGAAUACGUUCCCGGGCCUUGUACACACCGACAUA
RNAcentral lists this ribosomal RNA (441 nucleotides) under uncultured bacterium. RNAcentral describes it as "bacterial SSU rRNA". It matches the Rfam family "Bacterial small subunit ribosomal RNA", at positions 958 to 1397 of the family's 1533-position model. The record is from RNAcentral.